RNAcentral lists this transfer RNA (69 nucleotides) under Ictidomys tridecemlineatus (thirteen-lined ground squirrel). Its description in RNAcentral is "Spermophilus tridecemlineatus (thirteen-lined ground squirrel) tRNA". It matches the Rfam family "tRNA". Rfam says of the family: Transfer RNA (tRNA) molecules are approximately 80 nucleotides in length. Their secondary structure includes four short double-helical elements and three loops (D, anti-codon, and T loops). Lineage: Eukaryota; Metazoa; Chordata; Mammalia; Rodentia; Sciuridae. The record is from Rfam by way of RNAcentral.
GGGGUUGUAGCUCAGUGGUAGAGUGCUUGCCUAAUAUGCAUGAGGCACUGGGUUCAAUCCUUAGCACCA